Molecule: long non-coding RNA, 507 nt
Organism: Haplochromis burtoni (Burton's mouthbrooder)
Lineage: Eukaryota; Metazoa; Chordata; Actinopteri; Cichliformes; Cichlidae
Exons: 3
Source: RefSeq, a predicted model, not a curated record
UGCAUACUGUUGGAUUUUAAAGGCUUGAGUAACACAAAGUUAGAAAAUAUGUGAUCCAGCACAGUUUUUGCACUAACAAACUGCUGUUGUGGAUUAGAAUAGCCUGGAGAAGAGUUUGCUGUGAAUUGCAGGACAGAGGGAUCCUUCUCAGGCAUGAUUGAGGCGAUCUGGGGUGAACAGAGCCAAUGCAGUGGUCACUUUGAAAUCCUGAGCCCAGAUGGCACCGUGAUCCCUGUAAAUUCAGAGGGUCAGAACUGCCUCUAUCAUGCUGUUGUCCAGGCAACCUGGAAAGACCAAGGUGAUAUGAGAAAUGAGGCAGUUAUCCUCAGGAAUGAAAUCAAACAUACUCUUCAACAAAACUUACCGAGAUACGUGGAAGUUUUGAAGCUGCAGAAAGAAUUUGAAGAAACAUGUACGUCCCCUGGAAGAUAUUACAUCUGUGGAGGAGCAAAGCAAGAAGUAAAAACUAAAAUUAUCCACGCCUGGAGGGAAAAAUAUAAUGACAAA